AAUACAACAACAACAACAACAACAACAAAGCCUUUUCCCACUAAGUGGGGUCGGCUAUAUGAAUCCUAGAACGCCAUUGCGCUCGGUUUUGUGUCAUGUCCUCCGUUAGAUCCAAGUACUCUAAGUCUUUUCUUAGGGUCUCUUCCAAAGUUUUCCUAGGUCUUCCUCUACCCCUUCAGCCCUGAACCUCGGUCCCAUGGUCACAUCUUCGAACCGGAGCGUCAGUAGGCCUUCUUUGCACAUGUCCAAACCACCGUAACCGAUUUUCUCUCCUCUUUCCUUCAAUUUCGGCUACUCCUACUUUACCUCGGAUAUCCUCAUUCCUAAUCUUAUCCUUUCUCGUGUGCCCACACAUCCAACGAAGCAUCCUCAUCUCCACUACAUCUACGUGUUGAUGCUUCACCGCCCAACAUUCUAUGCCAUACAGCAUUGCCGGCCUUAUUGCCGUCCUAUAAAAUUUUCCCUUGAGCUUCAGUGGCCUACGACAGUCACACAACACGCCGGAUGCACUCUUCCACUUCAUCCAUCCAGCUUGUAUUCUAUGGGUGAGAUCUCCAUCAAAUUCUCCGUUCUUUUGCAAGAUAGAUCCUAGGUAGCGAAAACGGUCGCUCUUUGGUAUUUCCUGAUCUCCGAUCCUCACCCCUAACUCAUUUUGGCCUCCGUUUGCACUGAACUUGCACUCCAUAUAUUCUGUCUUUGAUCGGCUUAGGCGAAGACCUUUAGAUUCCAACACUUCUCUCCAAAGGUUAAGCUUCGCGUUUACCCCUUCCUGCGUUUCAUCUAUCAACACUAUAUCGUUUGCGAAAAACAUACACCAAAGAAUAUCAUCUUAAAUACUAAGUUUGUGAUCUUCGCUAGAUUGCUCCGGUCAUUAGUGUGGAUAAGUAUGUAAAUGGAUAGAGACAGGAAGCAAACACAAGAUGUACGUGGUUCACCCAGAUUGGCUACGUCCACGGAGUAAAGGAGUUCUCAUUAAUUGUGAAGGGUUUACACAGUAUAUAGGUUCAAGCUCUCCUUUAGUGAGUACAAGUGAAUGAUUUAGUACAAAUGACAUUAGGAAAUAUUAUGGAAGAAUGAUCUCGUAAUCACGAAACUUUUAAGUACCGAAGUGUGGUAUCGUCUUCACUUGCCUUAUCUGUCUCAUAGGUAGAUGUGGCAUUUUCUUUGGAAGUACUCUUCCUCCCUCCAGGGGUGGUAUCUUUAACUGGUGGAGAUGCACAAGGUAAUGUAUCAAUUUCACUUGACGCUUACUUGUAGUUUCAGGCUUGGUCAAGCGCGAUACAAACCAUGUAGUAGGAGUCCCCCAAGUCGCCGAGCUAGGGGAUCUGCUGAAAGAGGUGACAGACAAGGUAAGCAAUCAGAACUCCAAGCAAUCAGUCCCAGAUCAGAAGUUUGAUUUCGAGUUCCGGCUGAUUGUUAUCCUUCUCCUUAUCUUGCAGGUAGCAUGAAGGAUAAAGAGAAGAAAAGGAGAAAAGGUGAUAUGAGAUACUUUUGCUUUUGAAGAAGUAACUUUCCACAGGCUUAUUCUUGAACUGGGCUGGAGGGUUUUCUUAUUUCCGCCAGAGUAUAAGGCCGACUGAAGAAUUUGAGGGUCAAAACAAGUCCAUCAAAUCUAGAGUACGUUCAACCCUGCUGAUAUGGGAUACUUUUGCUGUUGACAAAGUAGUAGAUGUAUCGGCACGUGUUCUGUUGCGCUUGUCUCCACAUGCUUCCUUGUAUCCUUCUCACUUGCCCUAUUUGUUCCUCAGGCAGAUGUGGUAUCUUCUCGGGAAGCAUAAGAUGUUGAAGAUGAGUACUCGAGAGCAAUGGGGUUCCAGGCAGUCAGUUCCGGACUGGAAGCUUGAUUCCAAGUGCUGACUGAUUGCUCUCUUUCUCCUUGUCUUGCAGGUAAGAACAAGGCCAAAGGAAAAGACAGGGAAAAAGCAUGAUAUGGGAUACUCUUGCUUUUAACCCUGAUGAUAUGAGAUAUUCUUGCUCUGGUGUAGCUUGUUUGCAGAGGUAUUCUCGGGGGGAAAGAAAGCUGAGUAUUUCGAGAUGCUUCGUUGGGAGUGCCCUCUCAGAUAUGAGGAAGGGUUGAGCAUUUUUGCAGGUCUGCCUGUCCGUUGAGGAUGGAGGUCGACAUAUAUAGGAGUCUCCCUAACAAGAAGGAGUAAUACUAUUCUUUUACCCUGCUUGGUCAUAGCACGAUAGUGGGAGCUGCCAGCUUCACGUGUUUUAACUCUGUCAGAGCACUUUGAAAAAGUGGUCUGUGGUAUCUAAAAAACUAAUGUUACGUGUGAAGAUUACAGACAAGCUUUAUCCAAGGAGAUCUGGCUCUCGAAGUUGAGAAAGCGGUGUGAGGAUUACAAACAAGCUUUAUCUAAGGGGCUCUCGAAGUUGAGAAAGCGGUGCCUUUUCGGUUUUCGAACAAGCAAUCCUGUCGGGGAUCUGUCUCUCGAGAUUCGGAGAACGGUGCCUCUUCGAUUUUUGAGAAAGCAAUCCUGCUAGAAGUCUGGCUCUCGAGAUUCGGAGAGCGGUGUCUCGUCGCUUUUUGAGAAAGUAAUCAUGUUGGGAGUCUGGCUCUCGAGAUUCGGAGGACGGUGCCUCUUCGAUCUUGAAGCAAGCAAUCUUGUUGGGAGUGUUUUCUCGAAUGUGAGUAAAGGUUAGGCCUGUUUGCUAGUCUACCUUGCCACGGAGCACAGAGGUUGACCCACAGGGACUUUCCAAUUAUCCAGCAGUAGUCCUGUUCCUUUACCCUUGUGGAUAAUAAUAUGGUAGCUAGACCUUCAAAAUUUAUGUGUCUAAACUUUGUUAGUGCUGUUUCUUUGCUAUUCUUUUACCCUUCUUGGUCAUAGCGAUGUAAUGGGAGCUGCAAGCUUCACGUGUCUAAACUUUGUCAGAGAUUUUUGGCAAAGUUAUCUGUGGUACCCGUGAGUUGAUGUUGCGUGUGGAAAGUGAAUGAUUGAACAGUAACAUUCACGUGCUUUCUACUUCACUAGAAAUCUUCGACAGAAUGCCCGUAAUUUCCGCAAAGUUGAGUGUGCAUGUGACAGGUGUUGACAAAGCUGAAAAAGCAGGUGCCUCUUCGAUUUCUGAGAUCGGCCCUCAUGGUCUCUGAGCAGCCCAGCUUUUGAGAAAGCAAGCACCUCUUCGAUUUCUACGAUCGACCUUCGUGGUCUUUGAGCAGCCCAGCUUUUGAGAAAGCAAACGCCUCUUCGAUUCCUGAGAUCGGCCCUCGUGGUCUCUGAGCAGCCCAGCUUUUGAGAAAGCAAACGCCUUUUCGAUUUCUGAGCAGGCGCCUUUUCGAUUUCUGAGCAGGCGCCUCUUCGAUUUCUGAAGCUCCAUCGAGUGCAGAUUUUUAUAGAGGCUGGUAUUAAGUUCCAAAGCACACUUGAAUCUCCACCAGUAGAAGCUCCCUUCUUGCAUUUCUAAGAUCUUGAUUUGUCCGACCUCUUUUCUCUUCAACACCUUUGAAAAUGUCUGGCCCCUCCGACCGUCGUUUUGACUGGAACCUUGUUGAAGAGGCAGCCACGCCUUCUCCAGACAACAUAUGGCGCCCAUCCUUCUUAUCCCCUACUGGUCCUCUUACCGUUGGGGAUUCCGUGAUGAAGAAUGAUAUGACCGCUGCGGUGGUGGCCAAGAACCUUCUCACUCCCAAAGAUAACAGACUACUUUCCAAACGGUCUGAUGGGUUGGCUGUUAAGGAUUCUCUGGCUCUCAGUGUUCAGUGUGCAGGUUCUGUGUCUAAUAUGGCCCAACGCCUAUUUGCUCGAACCCGCCAAGUUGAAUCAUUGGCGGCUGAAGUGAUGAGUCUCAAACAGGAGAUUAGAGGGCUCAAGCAUGAGAAUAAACAGUUGCACCGGCUCGCACAUGACUAUGCUACAAACAUGAAGAGGAAGCUUGACCAGAUGAAGGAAUCUGAUGGUCAGAUUUUACAUGAUCAUCAGAGGUUUGUGGGUUUGUUCCAAAGGCAUUUAUUGCCUUCGUCUUCUAGGGCUGUACCGCGUAAUGAAGCUCCAAAUGAUCAACCUCCGAUGCCUCCUCCUUCUAGGGUGUUGUCCAGUACUGAGGCUCCGAAUGAUCCCCUUCCGGUGCCUUCUCUUUCUGGGGCUCUGCCGACUGCUGAGACUUCUCCUAAGCAACCUUUGUGAAGGCUCCCUCUUGUUUGUUUAUUUUGACUCGUGUAUAUGUACAUAUUUGUAACUUCUUAGAGAUAUCAAUAAAUAAGCUUUGUUUCAUUUCAACGUAUUGUGUUAAAUACACCAAAGCCUUCUUCACUAAGUUCUUUGAAUUUUUCUUUUGUUGAAGCUUGUAUGUUGAAGCUUUGUGAGUGGAGCAUGUAGGUUGAGGUAGUGUUCCCUUAAUAUCCCGAGUGGGGAAAACUUCUCGAUUGGAGACUUGAAAAAUCCAAGUCACUGAGUCGGGUCGGCUAUAUGAAUCUUAGAACGCCAUUGUGCUCGGUCCUGUGUCAUGUCCUCCGUUAGAUCCAAGUACUCUAAGUCUUUUCUUAGAGUCGCUUCCAAAGUUUUCCUAGGUCUUCCUCUACCCCUUCGGCCCUGAACCUCUGUCCCGUAGUCGCAUCUUCUAACCGGAGCGUCAGUAGGCCUUCUUUGCACAUGUCCAAACCACCGUAACCGAUUUUCUCUCAAUUUUCCUUCAAUUUCGGCUACUCCUACUUUACCUCGAAUAUCCUCAUUCCUAAUCUUAUCCUUUCUCGUGUGCCCACACAUCCAACGAAGCAUCCUCAUCUCCGCUACACCCAUUUUGUGUACGUGUUGGUGCUUCACCGCCCAACAUUCUGUGCCAUACAGCAUCGCCGGCCUUAUUGCCGUCCUAUAAAAUUUUCCCUUAAGCUUCAGUGGCAUACGACGAUCACACAACACGCCGAAUGCACUCUUCCACUUCAUCCAUCCAGCUUGUAUUCUAUGGUUGAGAUCUCCAUCUAAUUCUCCGUUCUUUUGCAAGAUAGAUCCUAGGUAGCGAAAACGGUCGCUCUUUGGUAUUUCCUGAUCUCCAAUCCUCACCCCUAACUCAUUUUGGCCUCCAUUUGCACUGAACUUGCACUCCAUAUAUUCUGUCUUUGAUCGGCUUAGGCGAAGACCUUUAGAUUCCAACACUUCUCUCCAAAGGUUAAGCUUUCGCAUUUACCCCUUCCUGAGUUUCAUCUAUCAACACUAUAUCGUCUGCGAAAAGCAUACACCAAGGAAUAUCAUCUUGAAUAUGUCCUGUUAACUCAUCCAUUACCAACGCAAAAAGGUAAGGACUUAAGGAUGAGCCUUGAUGUAAUCCUACAGUUAUGGGGAAGCUUUUGGUUUGUCCUUCAUGAGUUCUUACGGCAGUCUUUGCUCCUUCAUACAUAUCCUUUAUAGCUUGGAUAUAUGCUACUCGUACUCCUUUCUUCUCUAAAAUCCUCCAAAGAAUGUCUCUUGGGACCCUAUCAUACGCUUUUU
RNAcentral lists this long non-coding RNA (5429 nucleotides) under Malus domestica (apple). RNAcentral describes it as "long non-coding RNA (MDOM_LNC011270)". The record is from RNAcentral. Lineage: Eukaryota; Viridiplantae; Streptophyta; Magnoliopsida; Rosales; Rosaceae.